This is a long non-coding RNA of Marmota monax (woodchuck), 826 nucleotides long. RefSeq lists it as uncharacterized. The transcript is spliced from 2 exons. The record is from RefSeq and is a predicted model, not a curated record. NCBI's taxonomy places the organism in Eukaryota, Metazoa, Chordata, Mammalia, Rodentia, Sciuridae.
UCUUUUAUUCCCCCAAAGAAGGAACGGGGACAGUGGCCCUGGGCACUGAAAUGCAGCGGGGCCACGCUUCCUCGGCAAGCACUGAGACCUCAUUAAGAUAGAAGCUUCUCUUUAAGCUCCCAGAGCAGUUAACCAGGAGAAAACCUUGACCUCACCCAGACAGCCAUCAAGAGGCCCAGCUAAGGGUUAGCAGAGCUGGGUCUGGGCGCUCCCAGCCCACUGCCCCCAUGCUCCCCGCGUGGCCUGCAGGAGGCUUCCAGGGCAGAGUGGGCCUGGAGGAAGGAGAGGUCAGCUUUGUCACUUUGUAAUCCCACCUCCGCCGUCAGGCUAUCCUGCUCCCCAUCAAGCUCGGCCCUGAGUAACCGCUAAAGCGUGUACUGUUCGCACAAAGAUCUGCACACUAAUGUCCACAGCAGCGUCAUUCACAAUGGCUCCCCAUGGAAACAGCCCAAAUGCCCAUCAGCUGAAGAGUGACGAGGACCAAGUGACACAGCCGCUAUGAAGCAUCCGUCAGCCAUAAACGGGAAGGGAAGACGCUGCAGGCGCUACUCGAUGAGCCUUGAAAACACCAGGCGUGGGAGGAGCUGCCACAGAGGGCCCAGCUUGCAGCUUGUGCUGGACGGAAUGUGCAGAAGAGGAAAUCCAGAGAUGGCAGUGGGGGCGGGGGAACUGGGGCAAAGGUGACGGGCGUCGCUGUUAAUGGGUGGAGGCCUUCUUUUAGAGGUGAUGGAAAAAAGUGAAUAUACUAAAAACUACUGAGUACGUACAAAGGUGGCUUCUCUGUUAUGCAGAUCAUGUCUAAGAAAUAAAAAACCAGAGUCAACAA